UACAGAGGCCACAAGCGUUCGACGGAAUCACUGGGCUUAAAGCGUGUGUAGGCGGGAUGGUAAGUACCUUGUGAAAUCCCACAGCUUAACUGUGGAAAUGCUUGGUAUACUGCCGUUCUUGAGUCACCUAGGGGCAGCUGGAACAGAUGGUGGAGCGGUGAAAUGCAUAGAUAUCAUCUGGAACGCCAAUGGUGCAGACAAGCUGCUGGGGGUGUACUGACGCUGAGGCACGAAAGCCAGGGGAGCAAACGGG
RNAcentral lists this ribosomal RNA (253 nucleotides) under uncultured bacterium. RNAcentral describes it as "partial 16S ribosomal RNA". It matches the Rfam family "Bacterial small subunit ribosomal RNA", at positions 524 to 776 of the family's 1533-position model. The record is from RNAcentral.